AAAAACAAACAAGGGCAUACGGGGAAUGCCUAGGCUCUGCAAGGCGAAGAAGGACGUGAUAAGCUGCGAAAAGCCGCGGGGAGGUGCAAAUAACCGAUAAUCCGCGGAUAUCCGAAUGGGGCAACCCACCAUAUAAAUGGUACCUCGAAACGAGGAGCGAACCCUCUGAACUGAAACAUCUAAGUAAGAGGAGGAAGAGAAAACAACAGUGAUACCGCAAGUAGUGGCGAGCGAACGCGGCACAGCCCAAACCGGACACGUUUAGGCGUAUCCGGGGUAGUAGGACUGCGAGAUACAAGUAUAAAAAGAACCGGAACGGCAUGGAAAGGCCGUCCGUAGAAGGUGAAAGACCCGUACGGGCAAUUUUUAUACGCGUUAGCAGUAUCCUGAGUAGGUCGGGGCACGAGAAACCCAGACUGAAACCGGCGGGACCACCCGCCAAGGCUAAACACUCAGCAGAGACCGAUAGUGAACAAGUACCGUGAGGGAAAGGUGAAAAGAACCUUGAAUAAAGGAGUGAAAAAGACCCUGAAACCGUAUGCCUACAAGCGGUCGGAGCCCAUUUAUUGGGUGACGGCGUGCCUUUUGCAUAAUGAUCCUACGAGUUACUGUUACCGGCAAGGUUAAGCGCUUCAGGCGCGUAAGCCGCAGCGAAAGCGAGUCUUAAAAGGGCGGAUUAGUCGGUAGUAGUAGACGCGAAACCUUGUGAUCUACCCAUGGCCAGGUUGAAGUGGGGGUAACACCCCAUGGAGGACCGAAUCGGUAAGCGUUGAAAAGCUUUCGAAUGAGCUGUGGGUAGGGGUGAAAGGCCAAUCAAACUGGGAAAUAGCUCGUACUCCCCGAAAUGCAUUUAGGUGCAGCGUCGCGGUUAAGUGAUAUAUAGGUAGAGCUACUGAUUGAAUGCGGGGGCUUCACCGCCUACCAAUUUCAGACAAACUCCGAAUAGUAUAUCACAUACGCGGCAGUGAGGGCAUGGGUGCUAAGGUCCAUGCCCGAGAGGGAAACAACCCGGACCAACAGCUAAGGUCCCCAAAUAUACGCUAAGUUGAAAAAACGAAGUAGAACUGCACAGACAGCCAGGAAGUUGGCUUGGAAGCAGCCAUUCUUUUAAAGAGUGCGUAACAGCUCACUGGUCGAGCGGUUCUGCAUGGAGAAUAAGCGGGCAUAAGCGUAUUACCGAAGCUAUGGCAGAUAACAAUCUGGGUAGGGGAGCAUUCCGUACAGCGCAGAAUCGGUAUUGUAAAGUACCGUGGAGCGUACGGAAAAGCAAAUGUAGGAAUAAGUAACGAUAAAGCGGGCGAGAAACCCGCUCACCGAAAGACCAAGGGUUCCCCGGCUAUGUUAAUCAGCCGGGGGUCAGUCGGGCCCUAAGGACAAGCCGAAAACAGGCUACUCCGAUGGACAAACGUUUAAUAUUACGUUACUCGUAUCGAGUGCGACGGGGCGACCUGGUAAUACCUCUUCGCGUGCUGACGGAAUAGCACGUUAAAGACUUUACCGGGCCGGGAGGCAAAUCCCCCGGCGGAAAGGUAAAGUUGAUAGUACACCCAAGCUACGGCGACGGUGAUAGCAAGACUAAAGAUCAGCAAGAAAAACCUCUAAGCUUCAGCUCGAUACGACCCGUACCGGAAACCGACACAGGUGGUCGAGAAGAGAAUUCUAAGGUGCUCGAGAGAUUCAUGGCUAAGGAACUAGGCAAAAUAGACCUGUAACUUCGGGAAAAAGGUCACCGCAGCAAUGCGGUCUCAGAAAAUAGGUCCAGGCGACUGUUUAACAAAAACACAGGACUUUGCAAAAUCGAAAGAUGACGUAUAAGGUCUGACACCUGCCCGGUGCUGGAAGGUUAAGAGGAGAUGUCCGCAGCAAUGCAAAGCAUUGAAUUGAAGCCCCAGUAAACGGCGGCCGUAACUAUAACGGUCCUAAGGUAGCGAAAUUCCUUGUCGGGUAAGUUCCGACCUGCACGAAUGGUGUAACGAUCUGGACACUGUCUCAGCCAUGAGCUCGGUGAAAUUGUAGUAUCGGUGAAGAUGCCGA
Molecule: ribosomal RNA, 2034 nt
Filed under: gut metagenome
Description: bacterial LSU rRNA
Rfam family: Bacterial large subunit ribosomal RNA
Source: RNAcentral